Molecule: ribosomal RNA, 234 nt
Filed under: uncultured bacterium
Lineage: Bacteria
Description: partial 16S ribosomal RNA
Rfam family: Bacterial small subunit ribosomal RNA
Source: RNAcentral
GCGUCCCCUCCCGUCCGGCCCGACUCAGACGUCCUACGGAGGCGAGCAGUGGGGGAAGGUAAUUGGUACGAAUGGGGGCGAACCCUCGAUCCAGCGACGCCGCGUGUGUGAAGAAGGACCUGCGGGUUGUAAGCACUUUAGUUGGGGAUGAAUGUGCAGGGUUAAUACCUCUGCAUUUUGACCUAACCCACAGAAAAGCACCGGCUAACUCUGUGCCAGCAGCCGCGGUAAUAC